GGGUGGGGAGGCAGUCAGAGGGGUGGAGGGCCUCUCUAUGAGCCUCCUGCCAGGGGCCUGGACCCCAGGAGCUGUACCUACCAGGUGGAAGGCGCCCCUCCCCACUGGACGAGGCCCCCCACGAUGGGUAAGCGUGUGGGGCCCAGCCUGGCCUCCUGCCCCCAGCCCGGAUUCUGGCCACAGUCGAGGUGGCCUCCCCACGCCGCUCCCACGCCCCCAAUCGUGGAGCAGAGACUGCGCGGGUGAAGGGGCACAGCAUCAGGGCUUGCCUGGAGCCAUGCUAUCCCGCCCUCCUACUCUGGUCCUCGUACGCACCCUGCUCUGUGCUGACGUGAAACCCCACACUGCUGACCCCGGCCUCAAGCCGCGCUGUGGGCCAAGGGCCGGGGGCUGUGCCCACCCUCCCCGCGGCCCCUCCCACCUGGCCCUCGACCCAAAGCCAGGGGUGCAGGUGUGCAGAGACUCAGCCCACUUCCUGGGAAAAGGGGAUCCGUGCCCCUACUUCCUGUGCCUGACGUGGGAGGGAGGGGAAGGGGUACCACCAUCUGGGUCCUGGUCCCCUGGCCGGGGCCGCGCGCUCAGGGCCGCUCCUCACUCUAGGACCCACUGGUGGGGCAGAGUUCAGACACGGGCCGGACCGCCCUCUUGCCUCUGGAUCUGAGCCACGUGCCACAGCCCCGCUGCCUCUGAGCCUGCCCUGGCUAGUGAUGCUGGCCUCCACCUGGGGAGGGAAACCGCGCCAGCCCUCUGUGUGGCGAAGGAGCCGGCGCGCUGUGCCCAGGGCACGGGGGCCGGGGGGGGCACCCACCUGUCUGUCGGGGCCGCAGGGGCCUUGGAAUUCUGGCCCCUCUGCCGCUCUGGCUUCGGGGAGCUGAGUCUCCCACCUGACUUCCGGUCCCGAGAACCUGGGUGACAGAGGACAGAAAGACGUAAGGAGCAGAGCCAGUGAGAAAAGGAAAAGGGGAGGAUGGAUUACACUGGAAAAUGAAGCCCCAGAAAAACACGGAAGCCGAGGUCUAAUUUCGGUUCUGGUUUCCCGAGCCAGCAUCAAAACAGGCCACCGAGCUCUGGGCGUCCAACUCCAAGCAGACAAAAACCUCCUUCCGUGCCUUGAAGAAACUCACGACUUUCCUGCCCGUGAGAAACGCCCAUCAGAGCCUCUGUUCCGCUGAGGCGGCCGCCCGCGUGCCGUCUGGGGGAGGCGUCAUCACUGGCAGCGUGGGGCCGCUGCACGCCCCCUCCCCUGCACACAGGCUCUACCUUUCUCCUUCUUGGUCUGGGCUGGGGUGGGGGACCGCGAGCUAGCCGAGGACACGGGGCUUGCCAGGUCCGCAUACAUGUCGUCCGAGUCCACGCUGUGCGCUGAGCUGCUGCUCGACGUGGCGCUGGACACGGAGGAGACGCUGCUCACGCUCAGGGACCUGCACGCACAAGCACGUCUGCACCGCGGCCCCAGCCCGAGACCCGAUUCCUGUUCCCAGGGAAGGGGAACCCACCCAGCCCGAGAUGUGGGGGGCUCUGGGCACUCUAUAGGUGCCGCCCAGGGAGGGGACGCCCACGUGGCUGUGGCCAGGCCCUCGUGCUCACAGGCGACUGUGCUGUUAGCUGGGCAGGGACACACGGCUGACUGUGACCAAGAGCUGGACACCCACCCUGGCGGCGGGGCACAACAGAGGGCGGACAUGGGCCACAGCGCGAGCAGACGCUGUGCCACACAACCCAACGGGCCGCUCAGGAGGCGCCGAACGUGGCCGAUCCCCUGGGCCCUCACAGCCCAGGCUCCACAGGGACUCCCGCCCUCUGAGAAAACCGGCGGCACUGCGUCCUAAGGUGUGUGGAGGCUGCAACAGGGAAGGGAAGAGCCCAGCCUUUUGGAAAGGUUUGCUCUUUAACACACCCCAGACCUACGCUGCCAGCUCUGGGCAAACGUAUAUACACCACCUGCUGCCUGCAAAUGAAGGAGGAAAGCGGCUUCAAGGACCCUAAGGACUGACCCGAUGCCGCCUGCUCUCUGAACAACUAGACGGCAGCAUUCUCUUCUGCUCGCUCUUUCCUCAGAUCUUUUCGAUCGGCCGCCCCCAGCUGCCUCAGCCCGUUACCCCCUCCUCGCCGGAGCGGCUCGGGAACAGCUCCUCGGACCCACGGUGCCGCCACCCGAGGGAGGAGGGUGCUCACACCUAACGUGGCCUCUCCCGGGGUUCCCUGGACCCUGACUGGGGGGACAGAGGCAGAUGCCGAUGGGACUGGGGCCAGAGAGACGUGAUAAUGACCUGGAUCUGGAACUAGAACCGCUGUAGCUGCUGCCGCUGCCGCUGCCGCUGACAGUCCGCCUACAACACAACCAAGAGCCCGGCUGCUCACGUUUCUGUGGCCUUGACACGCGGGUGCUCCUCCAAGCCGGGGCUCGCUGGCCUGAGACCAACGCGCCCCCAGUGACUCGCCACCGACCGGGCAGUGGGCGGGGCUCUGAUUCCCUCAAAGUGAGCCAACCACAGCCCUGGCCAGCUCCGCUCACGCUGUGCAUCCCGCACGGGGGAGCUUGGCACCGAGGGAGCACCCGGGCCCCUCGCAGCCAUCGAGCUGCUGGGGACACCGAGGCUCGGCGACGUGCCGCGGUCCUUGGCCUCCGCUGCCUGCGAGCACCCCUCCGCCAGCCCUGGAAGGCCGGGGCACUCACCUCCUGGGCGGGCUCCUGGCCUGCCGCUCCCUCCUCCUGGCUUCCCGAAGGUCUCCGGGCUUGGUGGGCUCGGGGGCAGGAGCGGUGGCUUUGGGGGCCUGCGGUGGGGCUGGAGGUGGGGCUGGCUUCUUCAGCAGCUUCUCUCUGUGACGUGGGACAGAGGGAGGGUCAGACCCGGCUGGGCAGGCGGAGGCGGCCCUGCCGGCCGACCUCGGGGCGCGUGCAGUGCAUGCGCACACUCCCCUGUGAGGAGCUGUUUCCCGCGGACCCCCACCCCACACUGAGCAUCCCAUGGCCUCCCCCUCCAAGAAAGGACAGGGAGGAAGACGGGGCCGGCUGAAGAGUCCCGGAGCGGUGCCGAGAGCUGGGCUGUGCUCCCUCAGUAAUUGGGGACCCCAGGGGAGUCGGGAAAAUGGCCCCCAAGCUGUUCUUCACCGUUGCGUGGGGAAGAUACCCUGCCAGUUUGUUAAGCGCCCUGAACACGCACAGUGCAGAUGGGCCACAGAGCAGACCCUGCCAGCAACGCUGACGCCAGCAGGAAGCAGAGUCUGCGUUAGAGGAAGCUGCUCAGCACAGCAGCAGGGCUGAAUCCAAGCCCGUGCCGACCAGGAGGCAGACCCGCACUUACCCCGCCCGACGCCAUCUGCGUGAAGCCUGGGGACCCGAAGCGCCUGCACUGUGCUCGGGGUCCCCCCACAACAGUACAGUUCAGGUGGGUGCGGUGCCUGGGGCCUAAGUCAUAUGCCAACACCGUUCCCUUUCUAACAGUGAGCCGCCCAGGACUCCCUAAGCCUGAGGCCCAGGAGCCGACCCCGUUCAGGAGGAAAACCUGCCAUGGGGGCUGGGGCCAGACGCGCGUGGGGACGGCCAGCAUCAGGACGGGCCUCGCGCCUGGCAGAGCCGCAGGAGCGGAGCGUGCUCUCACCCGGCGGACCGUGCACCCCAACCCUGCACGCCAGGUAUCGUGAGGUUUGUGUGCUAAGUCCUAGGUGCUUCUACCCCUCCCGUCGCCACAUCUGUUGAGAGGGAUCGAUGUGACCAGUCCCAGGAGCAGCAGAGAAGGUGAGGACGGCAGGGCUGAGGCUGCCACGGACACAGCCAGGGCCGAGCACAGCAGGUCCCCAGGGCGAGGGGCCCUCACGUGCCGCACUGGCUCCCGACAAGUGAGGCUCCAGCACCAGAGUGAGCACGCUGGAGCACGGAUGCCCUGGCCCACAGCCAGGAAGCGCGAGGCCAGGCCUACGCCCCGCGCCCCUGCCCACUUCCCGGGGCGCCGCAGCACUCACCCUGCUUUUGCGGGAGGCGGAGCCGGCUCCCCCUUGGUUCUGACAGGUCUGUGCGGCGAGGGCGUCGGGGACGGGGACGGGGACGAGGAGAAGGACCGGGACCUAUAGGGAGUGAACCGAGGUGAGAGGAGGCGCUCCGCCCGGCCGCACCCCCGCAGGGGCUACCGCUCAGCCUCGGACAGGUCUCGGUCAUCUCCUCAGAUGCACGUCACGGGGAAAAGAGGUGCCAAGGGGCAGGCAGCACCCCAUCAGCCAUCACCUGGGAGCCGGCGGGGAGGCCCUGGGACAGUCGGCGGGGCUCGCAAACACAACCUGAGGGGAAGGUUAAGUAGCGAAGAAAGCGCCCCCGACUUUGUGAGAACGGCUCAGCCGUAUACAGACCACACACAGGGCCUUCUUCCGUCUGUCUCCGUGUCACCCAGUGCUCACAGAGGGGAGACUCAGGUAAGCCCCCCACACCCUGGAUUUCCAGAACCCCCCAAUUUAUCAGCUGGGUUCCAGGCUUCUUCCCCACAGCUCAACAGCCUUAUUUUUCACGUGAAACCACAGAAGGCUUCUCCUGCCACUGAUGAUCGGUAUCUUCGCUGUCUCCCUCUCAGCCUCCUACAGGCAGCCUUCCCCCGGACACCCAGGCACUGCUUACACUCCUGGCAGGACGGCCGUGAGGCCCAGUGCCCACAGCUGGCCCUCUGGAUACCCUUAACAAAAGGCUGGCUUUCCUUUCUCACGGCUGUCACUCAGCACAAGAUGACAUUCAGCAAAGGCAGGCCCAGCUGUCAUCUAAGUCCACGAACACAAGAACGUGGCCUUCAGACGCGACAGCUUCAAUGAUCUCCCUGUGCUGUUCCCACCCGCUCUGUGCUGUCCUAGGGCGAGACAGCCUGCCAGGAAGGGGCGCCGCUGGGGGGCCACAGACCCCGCAGGAGGACCCAUCAGUUUGCCCAAGAACACCUUGUGACGUGCUCCCCAGGGAAGCGGGGGCACGUGUGUCUGUGUGGGUCUGUGCGUGGUGCGCAUGUGAGCGCGUAGGGGUGGGUCCACGCCCUGCUGCGGCCCCUGGGAGAGCUGCGCCUGUCUGCGACCGCGGAGACAGAGCCACACAGGCGGCCCCCUCCACUCGCAGCCUCCCUCUGGUCCCAGACCUGUCCUGGGUGCGGCCCCACCUGCGCGUCUCAGGCUGGCAGGAGGCAGAGAGGGCGGGGGAGUGACUCUGGGUCCGUGUGCAGGUGGCACCGGGCGCGGAGGCGCACACGGCAGCCUGCGCUCGUUGAAAAGGCCGAAGAGGCAGAAACGGGGUUUAACUCACUGAAAGAACAUCGUUUCCCAGCGAGAGGGACGAGAGCAGGACAGGUCAACGCUGUGACGAAGAGCAUCAGGACUGAGGGCCAGCGGGCUGGUGACAGCAGGACCUGCUGGGCCCCGUGAGCAAGCCACCGCCACGCGGACUCCCCAAGUGCUCACCACCAGCCGGGAACGCAACAAGGCCAAACCGCGCAGGGGAGUGGGAGCAGGGGCCCGGCAGCAGCUCAGCACUGGAGACAAGGCUCAGCUCCAAGCCAGGGUGCCCUGCACCCCACACCAAAGCACCCCUGCUCUACGGGGAGCCAGAGCACAGGGUCCCAGAACAGUUCAGUAUGAAGGUUAUCUGCUGGCCCUGUGAUGUUCACUAAUUAAAAAGUCACACAGAAAGUAAAAACAGAGAAAUAAAAACCCCAGGAUCUCGCUCUCUGGGGUCAGCCACCAUUUAGCACC
Molecule: long non-coding RNA, 5715 nt
Organism: Lagenorhynchus albirostris (white-beaked dolphin)
Lineage: Eukaryota; Metazoa; Chordata; Mammalia; Artiodactyla; Delphinidae
Exons: 4
Source: RefSeq, a predicted model, not a curated record